AGCAGCCGCGGUAAUUCCAGCUCCAAUAGCGUAUAUUAAAGUUGUUGCAGUUAAAAAGCUCGUAGUUGAAUUUCGGGGUCAGUAGGUCGGUCGUGCCACUGGUAUGAACUGGUUUUACUGAUUCCUCCCUCUUGAAGAACUGUAAUGCCAUUAAUUUGGUGUUGCAGGGAAUCAGGACUGUUACUUUGAAAAAUUAGAGUGUUUAAAGCAGGCUUUAGCUUGAAUACAUUAGCAUGGAAUAAUGAAAUAGGACGUUUGAUCCUAUUUUGUCGGUUUCUAGGAUUGACGUAAUGAUUAAUAGGGAUAGUUGGGGGCAUUAGUAUUCAAUUGUCAGAGGUGAAAUUCUUGGAUUUAUUGAAGACUAACUACUGCGAAGGCAUUUGCCAAGGAUGUUUUCAUUAAUCAAGAACGAAAGUUAGGGGAUCGAAGACGAUCAGAUACCGUCGUAGUCUUAACCAUAAACUAU
This 466-nucleotide ribosomal RNA is filed under the name uncultured Glomus. Its description in RNAcentral is "SSU rRNA". It matches the Rfam family "Eukaryotic small subunit ribosomal RNA", at positions 569 to 1040 of the family's 1831-position model. Lineage: Eukaryota; Fungi; Glomeromycota; Glomeromycetes; Glomerales; Glomeraceae. The record is from RNAcentral.